RNAcentral lists this ribosomal RNA (466 nucleotides) under uncultured bacterium. RNAcentral describes it as "partial 16S ribosomal RNA". It matches the Rfam family "Bacterial small subunit ribosomal RNA", at positions 38 to 507 of the family's 1533-position model. The record is from RNAcentral.
GAGGAAAGAGGGGGGCGUGCUUAACACAUGCAAGUCGAACGAUGAAGCCCAGCUUGCUGGGUGGAUUAGUGGCGAACGGGUGAGUAACACGUGAGUAACCUGCCCUUAACUCUGGGAUAAGCCUGGGAAACUGGGUCUAAUACCGGAUAGGAGCGUCCACCGCAUGGUGGGUGUUGGAAAGAUUUAUCGGUUUUGGAUGGACUCGCGGCCUAUCAGCUUGUUGGUGAGGUAAUGGCUCACCAAGGCGACGACGGGUAGCCGGCCUGAGAGGGUGACCGGCCACACUGGGACUGAGACACGGCCCAGACUCCUACGGGAGGCAGCAGUGGGGAAUAUUGCACAAUGGGCGCAAGCCUGAUGCAGCGACGCCGCGUGAGGGAUGACGGCCUUCGGGUUGUAAACCUCUUUCAGUAGGGAAGAAGCGAAAGUGACGGUACCUGCAGAAGAAGCACCGGCUAACUACGUG